RNAcentral lists this ribosomal RNA (118 nucleotides) under Pteropus alecto (black flying fox). The record is from RNAcentral. Lineage: Eukaryota; Metazoa; Chordata; Mammalia; Chiroptera; Pteropodidae.
GUCUAUGGCCAUGCUACCCUGAACACGCCUGAAUUCAACUGAUCUUGGAAGGUGAGCAGGGUCGGGACUGGUUAUACUUGGAUGGGAGACCAUCUAGGAUGACCAGGGGCCGUAGGCG